RNAcentral lists this ribosomal RNA (588 nucleotides) under uncultured bacterium. RNAcentral's name for it is "bacterial SSU rRNA". It matches the Rfam family "Bacterial small subunit ribosomal RNA", at positions 55 to 636 of the family's 1533-position model. The record is from RNAcentral.
AUGCAAGUCGAGGGGUAACGGAAGUAGCUUGCUACUAGACGACGACCGGCGCACGGGUGAGUAACGCGUAUGUAAUCUGCCUUGUACAGAGGGAUAGCCCAGAGAAAUUUGGAUUAAUACCUCAUAGUAUUACUGGAUCGCAUGAUUUGGUAAUUAAAGCUCCGGCGGUACAAGAUGAACAUGCGUGACAUUAGCUAGUUGGUAAGGUAACGGCUUACCAAGGCUACGAUGUCUAGGGGUUCUGAGAGGAUGAUCCCCCACACUGGUACUGAGACACGGACCAGACUCCUACGGGAGGCAGCAGUGAGGAAUAUUGGUCAAUGGACGCAAGUCUGAACCAGCCAUCCCGCGUGAAGGAUGACUGCCCUAUGGGUUGUAAACUUCUUUUAUAUGCAAAUAAACCUACUUUCGUGAAAGUAGCUGAAGGUAGCAUAUGAAUAAACACCGGCUAACUCCGUGCCAGCAGCCGCGGUAAUACGGAGGGUGUAAGCGUUAUCCGGAUUUAUUGGGUUUAAAGGGUACGUAGGCGGUAAUAUAAGUCAGUGGUGACAUCCUGCAGCUCAACUGUAGAACUGCCAUUGAAACUGU